RNAcentral lists this ribosomal RNA (587 nucleotides) under uncultured bacterium. RNAcentral describes it as "partial 16S ribosomal RNA". It matches the Rfam family "Bacterial small subunit ribosomal RNA", at positions 355 to 1375 of the family's 1533-position model. The record is from RNAcentral.
UGGGGAAUUUUGGACAAUGGGCGAAAGCCUGAUCCAGCAAUGCCGCGUGUGUGAAGAAGGCCUUCGGGUUGUAAAGCACUUUUGUCCGGAAAGAAAUCCUUGGCUCUAAUACAGUCGGGGGAUGACGGUACCGGAAGAAUAAGCACCGGCUAACUACGUGCCAGCAGCCGCGGUAAUACGUAGGGUGCAAGCGUUAAUCGGAAUUACUGGGCGUAAAGCGUGCGCAGGCGGUUUGCUAAGACCGAUGUGAAAUCCCCGGGCUCAACCUGGGAACUGCAUUGGUGACUGGCAGGCUAGAGUAUGGCAGAGGGGGGUAGAAUUCCACGUGUAGCAGUGAAAUGCGUAGAGAUGUGGAGGAAUACCGAUGGCGAAGGCAGCCCCCUGGGCCAAUACUGACGCUCAUGCACGAAAAGCGUGGGGAGCAAAACAGGAUUAGAUACCCUGGUAGUCCACGCCCUAAACGAUGUCAACUAGUUGUUGGGGAUUCAUUUCCUUAGUAACGUAGCUAACGCGUGAAGUUGACCGCCUGGGGAGUACGGUCGCAAGAUUAAAACUCAAAUGAAUUGACGGGGUCAUAGCUGUUUCCU